RNAcentral lists this ribosomal RNA (429 nucleotides) under Chloroflexota bacterium. Its description in RNAcentral is "Chloroflexi bacterium partial 16S ribosomal RNA". It matches the Rfam family "Bacterial small subunit ribosomal RNA", at positions 355 to 776 of the family's 1533-position model. The record is from RNAcentral. Lineage: Bacteria; Bacillati; Chloroflexota.
UGGGGAAUAUUGCACAAUGGGCGCAAGCCUGAUGCAGCCAUGCCGCGUGUAUGAAGAAGGCCUUCGGGUUGUAAAGUACUUUCAGUCGGGAGGAAGGUGGUAAGGUUAAUAACCUUAUCAAUUGACGUUACCGACAGAAGAAGCACCGGCUAACUCCGUGCCAGCAGCCGCGGUAAUACGGAGGGUGCAAGCGUUAAUCGGAAUUACUGGGCGUAAAGCGCACGCAGGCGGUUGAUUGAGUCAGAUGUGAAAUCCCCGGGCUUAACACGGGAAUUGCAUCUGAUACUGGUCAGCUAGAGUCUUGUAGAGGGGGGUAGAAUUCCAUGUGUAGCGGUGAAAUGCGUAGAGAUGUGGAGGAAUACCGGUGGCGAAGGCGGCCCCCUGGACAAAGACUGACGCUCAGGUGCGAAAGCGUGGGGAGCAAACAGG